GUAGGUGAACCUGCGGAAGGAUCAUUAAUGAAUUGGCCCUUGAGGCCUAAUUCAAUCCCACACCUUUGUGAACUGUCUUGGUUACUUUGGCGGGGUCGCAAUUUAUUGCGCCCAAUUUAGGGACUCCCCGCCAAGGGCUUUGCAAACUUAAGUUUUAUAAAAGAUAGAAAGUUAAUAUUCAAUAUAUACAACUUUUAGCAAUGGAUCUCUUGGCUCUCGCAUCGAUGAAGAACGCAGCAUCUGACUGACU
Molecule: unclassified non-coding RNA, 250 nt
Filed under: plant metagenome
Description: partial contains small subunit ribosomal RNA, internal transcribed spacer 1, and 5.8S ribosomal RNA
Rfam family: 5.8S ribosomal RNA (bases 190-250)
Source: RNAcentral